RNAcentral lists this ribosomal RNA (422 nucleotides) under Laparocerus lindbergi. RNAcentral describes it as "partial 16S ribosomal RNA". The record is from RNAcentral. Lineage: Eukaryota; Metazoa; Arthropoda; Insecta; Coleoptera; Curculionidae.
GGUAAUUUGACCGUGCAAAGGUAGCAUAAUCAUUAGUUUUUUAAUUGAAAGCUGGAAUGAAAGGUUUGAUGAGAAAAAAGCUGUCUCUAUUUAAUUUAUUUAGAAUUUUAUUUUUAAGUUAAAAAGCUUAAAUUUAAAUGGAAGACGAGAAGACCCUAUAGAGUUUUAUUAAUUUUUUUUAUAAAAAUAAUAGUAUUUUUUAUUUUUUUAAGAAAUAUUAAUUUGGUUGGGGUGAUUGAAAAAUUAAAUUAACUUUUUUUUUAUUGUUACAUUUAUAUAUGAUUAUUUGAUCCUUAGUUUAAGAUUAAAAGAUAAAAUUACCUUAGGGAUAACAGCGUAAUUUUUUUUGAGAGUUCUAAUCGAAAGAAAAGAUUGCGACCUCGAUGUUGGAUUAAAAUAAAAUUUUGGUGUAGAAGCUAAAA